Limanda limanda (common dab) is the source of this 452-nucleotide long non-coding RNA. RefSeq lists it as uncharacterized. The transcript has 3 exons. Lineage: Eukaryota; Metazoa; Chordata; Actinopteri; Pleuronectiformes; Pleuronectidae. The record is from RefSeq and is a predicted model, not a curated record.
GCCCCCCCCCCCCACACACACACACACACACAAACAAAGAGGCGUUAGGCUGAGUCGCUGAAAGUCCGGAUUUGAAGUGCAGAAAAUUAAGCCAUUGAAUCUGCCUGUCCAUGACGUAGUAAGACACACUAUGAGCCAGUAUGAUCCGACCAGACCUUACAUCAGCAUUGAGGAGUUGUCGGAGAAGAAAGAGGCUGAUUGAAGCGGGACAGAUGACAUGGAUCCAUCCUUCCACAGCCAGGAGCGCACCGACCUGUGUCCCACACUUCAUAUAAGACUGGAAGCUACACUGAUCUCACAGCUACACACCACAGACGUCUACACACUGGAGAAGAUUCAGACAGAGUCCCACAAAGAAGUCAUGACCCAGAGGCUGCAGAGAAACAUUUCAAGCCUCAUCUUAGUUUUUGUACAAUAUUUUUGCUGUAUGUAAAUAAAGCUUUCACUCCACA